AGUGAACGCUGGCGGUAGGCCUAACACAUGCAAGUCGAACGGCAGCACAGUAAGAGCUUGCUCUUACGGGUGGCGAGUGGCGGACGGGUGAGGAAUACAUCGGAAUCUACUUUUUCGUGGGGGAUAGCGUAGGGAAACUUACGCUAAUACCGCAUACGACCUACGGGUGAAAGCAGAGGAUCUUCGGACCUUGCGCGAUUGAAUGAGCCGAUGUCGGAUUAGCUAGUUGGCGGGGUAAAGGCCCACCAAGGCGACGAUCCGUAGCUGGUCUGAGAGGAUGAUCAGCCACACUGGAACUGAGACACGGUCCAGACUCCUACGGGAGGCAGCAGUGGGGAAUAUUGGACAAUGGGCGCAAGCCUGAUCCAGCCAUACCGCGUGGGUGAAGAAGGCCUUCGGGUUGUAAAGCCCUUUUGUUGGGAAAGAAAAGCAGCAGGUUAAUACCCCGCUGUUCUGACGGUACCCAAAGAAUAAGCACCGGCUAACUUCGUG
Molecule: ribosomal RNA, 492 nt
Filed under: uncultured bacterium
Lineage: Bacteria
Description: partial 16S ribosomal RNA
Rfam family: Bacterial small subunit ribosomal RNA
Source: RNAcentral